AUCCAAUAAACUUCAUCUUUUAUCCCAAUGUACUUUACUAACCCCUCACUUUGCCCGCAGCAUUGCACAGUAAAAGUUAUGAUUAUUUAUCAACAACAAUCAUGAUUAUAAUGAUAAUGUUAUCAUGCUUGUUAUUGCUCUUAUCUCAACAUAUAAUAUUGUUGUUGUAAUGUCUCAUAACCAUGUGAGUUACUUGAAGCAUUUCAAUGACAAUUCAACAAUUCAAUUUUAUUCAUAUUUUUACCCUGCAAUAAUCAACUUUGUUAUUAAUAAAUAAUAACAUUGCUUAUUAUUGCUAUUUAUAUUAAUAUUUUGUCAAUUAAAUUUGGCGCUCCUUAUCCUUCUUGGACGAUCAGCUUUGCCGCUCACUGUUGCCAUUGCUACAAGAUAUCCAACCAAAUGUUUGACAGUUUUGUUGAAUGCUGCUUAAUUGUAAUUGAUGAGAUUAAAUGCUAGUUUUAACUGUUUGUAUCAUCAAAAUGGCAAUACCCAAUGGUUCCUAUUAACACGAGUAACUUCAAUUGGCCUCCAGAGAAAUCAAAAUAUUAAUGAUGACGGUGGUGAUGAUGGUGAUGAUGAUAUUGUUGAACUAAUAUUGAGCUGUAAGUGGCAAAUUAUCUUUCCUUACUUAAUCUAACCUCAUUUGGAAAGGUAAUAUUAUCAUUCUUGUUGUUUCUCGUGCUGUUGUUACUGUUUGUCAAUAAUUAUGUUGUCCUCAAGGCCAUAAAUGACCUAACAUCAAGUAUCAAUAUCAAUUCUGAUUAAGCUUACAGUGUACCAUGAGACAGAAAAGGGUGAGAACAGGUUCAACUCGAUGAAUUAUUAUUCAAUUAUUAGCAUACUUGGUGAAUUAUGAAGUAAAGCUUGGGAAAUGAAUGAAACAGAUAAUGUGGCCAUUAUGAUUCCGUGUUGAUUGUGUCCCUCAAAUGAACCAGACAGAUCCUGAAUAUAAGGAAAACAAAAAAGGAAUCAUCAUCGACGUCGUUGUCGCCGUGAUCGUAGUUCUCAUUGAAAUCAACUCUCUCUCUUCCUUAUUUCUCAACAAUUUAUUUUACAUCAAUUUUCUUGUCUCUCUUCCUCUUUCUC
Non-coding RNA from Tetranychus urticae (two-spotted spider mite), 1086 nucleotides. NCBI's taxonomy places the organism in Eukaryota, Metazoa, Arthropoda, Arachnida, Trombidiformes, Tetranychidae. The record is from RefSeq and is a predicted model, not a curated record.